UACGUAGGGUGCAAGCGUUGUCCGGAAUUAUUGGGCGUAAAGAGCUCGUAGGCGGCCUGUCGCGUCGACUGUGAAAACCCAGGGCUCAACCCUGGGCCUGCAGUCGAUACGGGCAGGCUAGAGUGCAGUAGGGGAGACUGGAAUUCCUGGUGUAGCGGUGAAAUGCGCAGAUAUCAGGAGGAACACCGGUGGCGAAGGCGGGUCUCUGGGCUGUAACUGACGCUGAGGAGCGAAAGCGUGGGGAGCAAACAGG
Molecule: ribosomal RNA, 253 nt
Filed under: uncultured bacterium
Lineage: Bacteria
Description: partial 16S ribosomal RNA
Rfam family: Bacterial small subunit ribosomal RNA
Source: RNAcentral